CACGCUGUAAACGAUGCUCACUAAAUGUUGGAGUUGCUUGCAACUUCAGUGUUGAAGCUAACGCGAUAAGUGAGCCGCCUGGGGAGUACGGUCGCAAGGCUAAAACUCAAAGAAAUUGACGGGGGUCCGCACAAGCGGUGGAACAUGUGGUUUAAUUCGACACUACGCGAGAAACCUUACCUAGGCUUGACAUGUAUUUGCUACUGUUGGAAACAAUGGGUUUCAGGGUAACCUGAACGAAUACACAGGUGC
RNAcentral lists this ribosomal RNA (252 nucleotides) under uncultured bacterium. RNAcentral describes it as "partial 16S ribosomal RNA". It matches the Rfam family "Bacterial small subunit ribosomal RNA", at positions 796 to 1041 of the family's 1533-position model. The record is from RNAcentral.